Molecule: long non-coding RNA, 716 nt
Organism: Portunus trituberculatus (swimming crab)
Lineage: Eukaryota; Metazoa; Arthropoda; Malacostraca; Decapoda; Portunidae
Exons: 3
Source: RefSeq, a predicted model, not a curated record
GGUAGACGAGAACGAAGCAAGGUCAGUAGCUCGGAGAGCAGUAGUACUUCAGACACCACGCCCGCUACAUCCCUCCAGUCUCCACGCCACCACCGACCCCUCGAGUCUACGCAGCCCAGUGGCCGUGUGUGUCUUGGUGUUGGGCGUGACGUGCAGUAUCGGCGGUAAUAGCAACGGGAAGCUUGAUCUACAGCACAGCACAGCACAGCACAGCACAGCGGAGAGAUUGGUAGUGAGUUGACGAUCCAAAGGCCUGACUACACAGCGGUAAUGAGCUUUGUGUACCUUGCACUGUCUUCACUGACAACGCCCACUACUAACCACUCUGCCUCCGCCACCGUUUCAAGAUCAGGGAAGGACUCUGCCUUGCAUCGCGCACUGUGAUGGCCGCCGCCGCCGCUGCUGCUGCUGCUAAGGGAGAAUGGUUGGUUGAGUGGGAGUUGGUGAUUCAAAGGGCGUGCUGCAGCGAUCCCGUGUGUCCUGCACCAUCAAAGAAGGACUCCGGCUUCCCACGGCGCGUUCACUGACUCUCCCCGUCACCCUACCAACUCCGGCCACCUGCUACACCACCACUAUCGCCGGCUCCGUCCAGUGAAAGAUUCAUCGCAGACCACCUGCCAUUCAACGCCUGCCGCCGCCACCACCACCACCACCUCCUUAUGGUGGAGUCACUGUACCUGGAGCUGUCCUGAUUGAAUAAUAAAUUGUGAAGAAAU